UUCUCAGUAUUUUCAAAUGAUUUUUCCCCCUAAGCAAUCUAUUUCCUUCCUAAUUUAGGAUUCAUCUUAUCACAUCAUAGAGAUAAACGAAGAAUGGAAAAGGUCACAAGUUCUACUUUAUUUAGGGAAAAAAAUACCCUUUGUAAAAUGCCUUUGGACUUAUUUUUAUGACUGCUUUUGUUUUUCUUAGAGAACAAAAGUUUGACUCCUGCUUGUCCCAUGGAGCCCUCAAUACCAGUGACUGGAUCAGGGACAGGCUGCCUGAGGAAAUCAAACCUGUGAGCACCACGUGGAAGCUGUGUGAGCCCACAGAUAAGUUGCUGGUUUAGGUUUCCAAGGGUUGGAGGCUAGUGCUUAAUUUUAAAAUGACAGGUCCUGUGGUAAUGUUGUCCUAAGACAACAACAAAGAAAUGGCACUGUCUAAUGCCAGUGACUGUCCCUCCCAGAAACCAGAGGGCCACCAGACCUGGCCAUGUAAAUAAUGGCACUGAUGUCUGUGUGGAAAAACUACCUCUGCUUCUUGAGACAGGAGUUAGCACCAGCCUGACCAAUGCUCCAGGCUGCUGCCUAUUUGUCUAUGUUUUAUUGCCAACUAAUACCAAACUGCAGGCUUAGUCAGGUCUACCAAUACUCCAAGUUGGAUUUCCUCUUACUGUGCCUAGCGUGGGACUUGUAGCACUGAAAAAUCACUGGAAAGUCAGUCUGGGCAUAGCACAACAUUUUGUUGCUGCCCAGCAGCCUCUUGUCUGCAACAGCCUUUUACCACAAGCUCUGAAAAGGUGGGACAGAGCCGCUGCUGCUCCCUGGAGAGAGUCCCCACAGGAUAUGAUAGGAAGCAGGAGGUUGGAGGUGGGGACAUCUCUCUGCUGCAGCUGCAAUGCAAGAAAGGCUGACCCAAGUCACACCAAAAGUCCAGUUUAUGCUACUUGCCAGCAUUUCUCCUUUUGGACAGAAGCAGAAAAUAACAGUGUUCCACGAGUGAAUGCGCAAGUGGACUUCACAGAAUCACUGGGCUGUUUGCAGUGGGUAUCUAGAAAUUCAACCUUGUGGUACUUUGAUGUGCAUUAAAGGCAAAGAAGUUUGUCAAAGAAGGCUGGCUGGAGAAAAAAUGGACUUGGUGAAACAUGGUCCAGAAACUGUAAGUACUGAUGUUUCCAUUAGCUUUUUGUUUUUGUAUCAUUUCUGAGCAUUAUCUAUAACAUAUAUUUAUAAAAUAAAUAAAUACAGCCAGCCUCCAGACUGGAUGAUAGCUGCAACAAGCUUAUUACCACAAAUUGCUAUUUUGCAGUAUUCUAACAAUUAGUACUGUGGAGCCCUAUGGCACCAGGUAUUGCACAAACUUGAAGAGAAAGUGAGUCCUUGUCCCAAGCAGCAAAAUUCUUCUGUCCCCAUAGCUUAGGACACUGCUACCACUCACAUUCAGUAUUUAUGUCCAUACAAUGCACUGUGAUACAGUAACAGUGAUCCCAAAGCACAAACUGCUCUGCCAUUAAUGCUGAGCAGUGGCACUGCCCAUGAGGAAUUUGGCCAACUUUAAGGUUGUUUCCUGAGUAAUGUGUGUAUGUUGUAAGGGCUUUGCUGAAUUAGGACCUCACUUUAUAGAAAACCCAUCUGCUAACAAACACGUUAUGCUUGAUCAAGCUUAGCGUUAAGAUUAAGUGCCUUGUCUCCUCUUUUCACAGCUAAACUCCACCUGUAGUGAGAGUAAUUUAUCUUGAAUUGCUUUAAUGCAGUGUUUAAGUAUGUCUUCUUGGCCACAAAGCAGUUUGCAUGUAUUUCAGUGAGAGGCUUAAAAUCCCAUUCACAUUUUUCAUGUACAGUUUUCUCAGAUAAAUUAAUCACAGCUUGGUUGGCAGGUCUUGCAUGAGUAAUAAGGUUGUUGGCACAAACACACACCACAGGUCUGUUAGGUAAAGGAGAAGCUUUUGUUUGCUUCUAUAUUUACCCAAGAGGUUUAACUUGUACAAAACAGUUUAAGAUAGUGGUGCUUUACUAGCAGGACACAACAGGCUGUGAGAUAACAUGUCCUCCCCAAAAAGCAUCAACAGAGUACAGAUAAAUCCCCACACACUGGUUUGAAAAUUAAACUCUUGCUAUGCAAAAUAUUUUCACAAAAUGCAGUUUCCAUUGCUUAUAUACACAGGCAGACAACAGCCAGAAGCUUGCUGUUAUAUGAAAGAGCCAUGCUCUUGAAAGAGAAUUGAGCUGAAUGCACUUUUUACAUGAGAAAGGAAUGUGCUCUUUUGAGUAAAUAAUGACAAAGUGACAUUUUAGUUUGCUUUUUCUCUUUCAUUCAUAAUUUUGGGAAGUGAUUGCUCAGGGUUUAUAACAUGUAACUCAGAAUUCUGCAAAGUAAGUUUUUUGCUGAAUUCGUCUGAGCAAUAUCUGCACUCAAACAUUCUGCAGUGCAAUUUUGCUCCAUUGCUGUUGUAAGAGCAUGAGCUGGAGAGCUUUGUCUCAAUAUCUGUGUAGUGCUCUUGCAAUGUAGGCCUGACCUGAGGUACUCUGCACAUGGUGGGAAUCUUCCACUGCCUCGAUUUAGGGCUUUCAAUCAAGUCUUCUGUAAACAACAAAAUGCAGAAAAGACAAUGUAUUGCAAGGAAUUAACAUUGGAAUGCACAUAUAAUAUCUGUAUGUGUCACUAAUUUUGUGUUAGAUCAGCAAAACAAAUCCCUUUGUACCACUGCAAGGCUGCAUUUGCCAAAAUGAUGUUGUGGAGUUCUACAGUCACCACAAGGAGUGGUUUGGGUUGCUCCUCCAUCACACACUCUGUUGAAAGCAAUGUAUUAAUUAUUGCUCUUCUCAGCUGGAACAUAACUUUAUGUCUGACACAAACCAUGCACAAGAAAAUGAUAUGAAAAUGUGAGAGGCAGAAUUGGAAUCUUAAGUGCAAAUGGAUUGAAAUGUACGUGUGCAAUUUGUGCCUAAAUUUGACAUGAACUUUUGAAAAAGAAUUAUCAGGCAACCAAGCCAACUCUGCAGCCAAGGAGGCCUUUAAUGCCCAGAGGAACAUAUGCCCUGCUGGAGAGGCUGGCAGCAGCUCACAAAUGCAGCAUACAGUGGUGGGAUGUCUCUGCUUGCACCACAAUCAGUCUGUCAACUACAGAGAUGUUCAGGAAGAGCUGGAGGAACAGGAAUGCAACAAGGAAUGGCAUUACUGAUGCUGUGUGUACUAUUUUGGGGCUUUAUGAAAUCAUCAGUCUAGGAAUUGUUCAAUCUAAGUUCAAUUCACAUUUCGAGCUUUGUCAUCUUUUAGAUUUUUGUUAAUAAAAUGUAAAUCUCAGCAAUUUAUAA
This is an RNA transcript of Melospiza melodia melodia, 3294 nucleotides long. It is a transcript of the gene named transmembrane protein 177, with no coding region annotated. The transcript is spliced from 3 exons. NCBI's taxonomy places the organism in Eukaryota, Metazoa, Chordata, Aves, Passeriformes, Passerellidae. The record is from RefSeq and is a predicted model, not a curated record.